Molecule: non-coding RNA, 161 nt
Filed under: Bacteroides nordii
Lineage: Bacteria; Pseudomonadati; Bacteroidota; Bacteroidia; Bacteroidales; Bacteroidaceae
Source: RNAcentral
GAAGAAUGCGAUUAAAAGGGAAUCAGGUGUAAAUCCUGAACAGUCCCGCUGCUGUAAGUUCCAAUGAAUUAUGUUAUGAACAACUACCACUUUAGCCACUGGGGAAAUCCUGGGAAGGCGUUCGUAACAGGAACAAGUCAGAAGACCUGCCAUGCUAUCUU